AUGGAAUCAUUUUGUAAGUCGCUCUGGAUAAGAGCGUCUGCUAAAUGACUUAAA
Salmo salar (Atlantic salmon) is the source of this 54-nucleotide non-coding RNA. The record is from Rfam. NCBI's taxonomy places the organism in Eukaryota, Metazoa, Chordata, Actinopteri, Salmoniformes, Salmonidae.